RNAcentral lists this long non-coding RNA (236 nucleotides) under Lathyrus oleraceus (garden pea). RNAcentral describes it as "Pisum sativum (pea) long non-coding RNA (PSAT_LNC042105)". The record is from RNAcentral. Lineage: Eukaryota; Viridiplantae; Streptophyta; Magnoliopsida; Fabales; Fabaceae.
AAAAGUCAGGUUUGACGAGUUGAAGAGAAUCAUCGGGAUGAGAAGUCUUGAGAACAUGAAUUAUGGGGUGUGUUAGAAGUUGUAAUUUGAAGUUCUGAUUGAGAGCUAGCAUUCAACUAGGUCGAAGUAACUAAUCGAAGUUGUUGUAGUCAGCUGUAUUCGACAGGGUUGAAUACAACAUACAAUAGUGUCGAAAUGUAAUAAUUUUGUAUUUUACAUUUUUGCCGUUUGGGAUU